This 466-nucleotide ribosomal RNA is filed under the name uncultured bacterium. RNAcentral's name for it is "partial 16S ribosomal RNA". It matches the Rfam family "Bacterial small subunit ribosomal RNA", at positions 28 to 507 of the family's 1533-position model. The record is from RNAcentral.
GAUGAACGCUGGCGGCGUGCUUAACACAUGCAAGUCGAACGGAAAGGCUCCUGCUUGCAGGGGUACUCGAGUGGCGAACGGGUGAGUAACACGUGGGUGAUCUGCCCUGCACUUCGGGAUAAGCCUGGGAAACUGGGUCUAAUACCGGAUAGGACGAUGGUUUGGAUGCCAUUGUGGAAAGUUUUUCGGUGUGGGAUGAGCUCGCGGCCUAUCAGCUUGUUGGUGGGGUAAUGGCCUACCAAGGCGUCGACGGGUAGCCGGCCUGAGAGGGUGUACGGCCACAUUGGGACUGAGAUACGGCCCAGACUCCUACGGGAGGCAGCAGUGGGGAAUAUUGCACAAUGGGCGCAAGCCUGAUGCAGAGACGCCGCGUGGGGGAUGACGGCCUUCGGGUUGUAAACUCCUUUCGCUAGGGACGAAGCGUUUUGUGACGGUACCUGGAGAAGAAGCACCGGCUAACUACGUG